RNAcentral lists this ribosomal RNA (696 nucleotides) under uncultured bacterium. RNAcentral's name for it is "bacterial SSU rRNA". It matches the Rfam family "Bacterial small subunit ribosomal RNA", at positions 32 to 715 of the family's 1533-position model. The record is from RNAcentral.
AACGCUAGCUACAGGCUUAACACAUGCAAGUCGAGGGGAAACGACAUCGAAAGCUUGCUUUUGAUGGGCGUCGACCGGCGCACGGGUGAGUAACGCGUAUCCAACCUGCCCACCACUUGGGGAUAACCUUGCGAAAGUAAGACUAAUACCCAAUGAUAUCUCUAGAAGACAUCUGAAAGAGAUUAAAGAUUUAUCGGUGAUGGAUGGGGAUGCGUCUGAUUAGCUUGUUGGCGGGGUAACGGCCCACCAAGGCAACGAUCAGUAGGGGUUCUGAGAGGAAGGUCCCCCACAUUGGAACUGAGACACGGUCCAAACUCCUACGGGAGGCAGCAGUGAGGAAUAUUGGUCAAUGGACGAGAGUCUGAACCAGCCAAGUAGCGUGCAGGAAGACGGCCCUAUGGGUUGUAAACUGCUUUUAUAAGGGAAUAAAGUGAGUCUCGUGAGACUUUUUGCAUGUACCUUAUGAAUAAGGACCGGCUAAUUCCGUGCCAGCAGCCGCGGUAAUACGGAAGGUCCGGGCGUUAUCCGGAUUUAUUGGGUUUAAAGGGAGCGUAGGCCGGAGAUUAAGCGUGUUGUGAAAGUUUGCGGCUCAACCGUAAAAUUGCAGUUGAUACUGGGUGUCUUGAGUACAGUAGAGGCAGGCGGAAUUCGUGGUGUAGCGGUGAAAUGCUUAGAUAUCACGAAGAACUCCGAUUG